This is a long non-coding RNA of Oncorhynchus tshawytscha (Chinook salmon), 446 nucleotides long. The record is from Ensembl. NCBI's taxonomy places the organism in Eukaryota, Metazoa, Chordata, Actinopteri, Salmoniformes, Salmonidae.
GUCCCACAGUAUCACAGAGAGGUCAGACAGGUGGAGUAGUCCCACAGUAUCACAGAGAGGUCAGACAGGUGGAGUAGUCCCACAGUAUCACAGAGAUCAGACAGGUGGAGUAGUCCCACAGUAUCACAGAGAGGUCAGACAGGUGGAGUAGUCCUACAGUAUUACAGAGAGGUCAGACAGGUGGAGUAGUCCUACAGUAUUACAGAGAGAUCAGACAGGUAGAGUAGUCCUACAGUAUCACAGUGAGGUCAGACAGGUAGAGUAGUCCUACAGUAUUACAGAGAGGUCAGACAGGUGGAGUAGUCCUACAGUAUCACAGAGAGGUCAGACAGGUGGAGUAGCCCCACAGUAUCACAGACUGGCCCUGAUAACUAGCUAACUAACCUACUAUCUACUAGUCUACUGCCCCUGAUAACUAGCUAACUAACCGACUAUCUACUAGUCUA